UAUGCAAAGGAGCAAUGGCCCUAUGCAAAGGAGCAAUGGCCCUAUGCAAAGGAGCAAUGGCCCUAUGCAAAGGAGCAAUGGCCAUAUGCAAAGGAGCAAAGGCCAUAUGCAAAGGAGCAAAGGCCAUAUGCAAAGGAGCAAUGCCAUGUCAAGUCAAGAAUGAAGCAGCAUGCUGCAAAAGUCGACGUGUGCGGAUCAUGUGCCCAGGAGGGGGCAGUGUGGUUACCUUUGGUUAUGGGUGCACGACGGAAAGGUUGCAGGUGUGGACAGUGUUUGGGGCUCUGAUGGUUGGUCUUGCUUAAGAGGUGUGCUGUGGUUGCGGCUUGUCUGGAUCCAGCGUUGUCUUGCGCUUGGUUGCCAUUGAUGGCUCACUUGGGGGAGGACGUGGUUACGUGGAUGGACACAAAACCAAACUUUGCCAUAUGACUUGUACCAUUUUGUGUCUUUUUCUAACCUGCCACUGUCGUACUUGCUGCGUUCUUUGUUCUCCCCCCUCGGUGUAGGGCGGCGUUGGAGCGAGCCGAUCCCGAAUGUCCAAUUUUGCAAUUUGACUUGUGACAUUUUGUCUUUUUCUAACCUACCACUGUUGCACUUGCUCUAACCCUAACCUACCACUGUGAUACUUGCGUUCUUUGUUCUCCCCUAGGUGUUGGAGCGAGACAUUCACAUUUUGUGUCUUUUUCUAACCUACCACUGUCGUGCUUGAUCUAAGCCUAACCUACUACUGUGCGUCCUUUGUUCUCUAGGUGUAGGGGGCGGUGUUGGGGCGAGCCGGUCCACGAGGAAGACGUAAUGAUGCGAGCUGCGCCCAACUCAUUGCAUGUUCUGCCUUUUGCAGGCCGGACGCAAAAGGGGGGGCGGCGCACGGCCCGAUCCGACCCGGCGACGGUCACCAAGAGUAGCUAGCCGCUGUGAUCAAAUGGCGACCGGGACGCGACACCAUCUGAUCAGAGGUGGACGGACCGCUGUGGCAUCGCUCUGAAGUAGCCGAGUUCUGAGGGAGACCCGCUUCCCUGGAGGCGUCGACCUGCGCAGCUUCAACGUGUGAAAUGGAUUUAUUUUAUGUUUUUUUAAAUUCACACCAGCGGUGUCCAAAUGUCUGUUUGAGGGCUGCAUACUGAAACAAAUUCAGAAUUCUUUGACACAAAUUCAUUAAAUCAAUGACGGAAUUUUGCCAUUCAUAUUUUGUGCUACUGCUACAAAGCGGUGUUGUGUUCAUUCAUGUGGUGUGUUGAUAAAGUUGCCCCGAGGCUGCCAUUUGGACACCAAUGGUGACAUGUGUAGGGCUGCACGUGUAUUGGAAAACUGCCACAUGGUGGUAUAGGUUAUUGACAUGCACUUUAAGAAAGCUUUUAAGAUUUUUUUUUAAUGUGGCAAAUGAAACCUGUUUUCUUGCCUAACUAUUUGUAAUGAGUUUAGAAGAUAAGUCAUUGAUGCAAGUUAAAGUUAACUAAUCUAACUGAUCUCAUUGCGAUCAAAUAGUUCACCUCCAUCCCAGAAUUUUGCACAACUUUGCUCAAUGCAACAGUCUGGCCCAAUACUGCCAUAUCACUGAUUUUCCAAAAUGUUGUGCAGCCCUGAUUGAGUGCCAAACGCGCAGCGGCGGCAAGCGACCGCGCAAGCGACCGCGCAAGCGACCGCGCAAGCGACCGCGCAAGCGACCGCGCAAGCGACGGCAAGCGCAAGCGACGGCAAGCGCAAGCGACGGCAAGCGCAAGCGACGGCACGCGCAAGCGACGGCACGCGCAAGCGACGGCACGCGCAAGCGACGGCACGCGCAAGCGACGGCACGCGCAAGCGAGACAUUUGUGCUUGUCUUGCAAGGUGGAAGAGACGAUGCACGAAACGAAGAGCCGGCGGACGGAGGCCACCAGACCAGUGAGCAGGGUGCAAAGGAAGGAAUCACCCAAAGAAAGCAGUUGCCAAGUGAUGAAGAGGAGCCUGACGCAUGACUGGCCAAGGCUGGCCAGAGGUGACAUGGCAAUCCAAUAUGCAAGGGUAGUGUACACACUUGUUGGUUUUAAUUUAGUUUCCUUAUUUGUCUGCCUUUCAGGGUUGCCGGGGCAGCGGAUGGGACGAGCGCCAGCCUGCACCGAGAGGUACCGGGCCGCACCCACAAGACCAGGGAGGGGGCAGGUAAUGAGUUGCUAGUGGAAAUUUUCCUCUUGCCAAAACCACCACAAUAUGUCUGCCUUUCAGGAUUGCCGAGGCAGCUGAUCGGACGAGUGCCUGCACAGAGAGGGACCGGAGCGCGAGACCAGAGGUUGCGCGAGGCGGAGGAUGAGUCCAAACGUCGAAUACGGGCCGGGAGGGGACCCGAACCAUCGGCCGACCUUCGCCCGUGACGAGCGGCCUACACGAGACGGACGGACGGACGGGUGCAGAUGCGGCGAGGGCAAAGUGCCCAGCCAGCAUUUAAGGAGAGUAUCACUUUGGUUUUCCUUUUUGUGCUUUCUUUCUUUCACUCCCUCCACCUUUUCACUGGGUGUGCACACUGGCUGUCUGCAUGAUGCCUCUUUCUUUCUCAGCGCGUCAUUUUGCAAUAUUGUUUUAUUGUUGUGUUUUUUUUAAUACAUGAAGUGAACUGUUUGGACUGUAAUUGUGUGUACCUCUGAACCUGAAUUAAACUGUGAACUGAGUUCAAGUGGUCCAUUUUAAACAUUGGCAUGCGCAGUCUAUAGUGCAUAAUCAGAGUUACAUGACAGCAUACAAACUGGAAUCAUUUGAGACAUUCUCAAUGAUCAGGCAAUUGUAAAGUUAGUCUCAAACAAAAUUGUCUUGUUAAAUAUGCAGUGUCAGGCUUUUUAUUUUUACUCCACAAAGAAAAGCUGUAUGCAUUCUAAAUGGUUGACAAAAGCCAAGUAGCCUGACACCCAUAGAUUCAAACGACAAGCGUAAGUGUACAGUGUCGUGAUACAUAAGUCUUCUUUGGCAACCCUGCUUUAAAAUGGCCACCGAACUCAAUCUUGCUUUAUGUUGGUGCAUUUUUCUGUAUGAGUAAAAGUCCAUUUUAAUCAAGUCUGGCUUUUUUUUUUUAAAUCAUGCAUGUGGGCAUUCUUGUGAAUAAAGUCCACGUUGGUGUGUUUUCUUCCGGUUUGUGGUCUUGUAAAUAAAGUCAACUUUGGUGUCAGUCAUCAUUCACGAUGCACCUCAA
Syngnathus acus (greater pipefish) is the source of this 3154-nucleotide long non-coding RNA. RefSeq lists it as uncharacterized. The record is from RefSeq and is a predicted model, not a curated record. The transcript has 4 exons. NCBI's taxonomy places the organism in Eukaryota, Metazoa, Chordata, Actinopteri, Syngnathiformes, Syngnathidae.